Ictalurus punctatus (channel catfish) is the source of this 1731-nucleotide long non-coding RNA. NCBI's taxonomy places the organism in Eukaryota, Metazoa, Chordata, Actinopteri, Siluriformes, Ictaluridae. The record is from Ensembl.
GGAGGAUUUGCACUGAUGAUCUACAAACUGAGACACAAGAGAACACAAGGAUGAAGAUCCUCCUCAUCUUCAUCCUCUGCCUUCUCUCAGGUCCAGUAGACUGCUCUGAUGUGACUGGUUACUCAGGAGGAAGUGUCAUUAUGAUAUCUAAUAUCAACUGAUAAGUUCUUCCUGGUACUGAUCAGAAAGCUGAAGCCACAGGAUGCUGGAACAUACAGAUUUGGAUUGGAGAAUCAGAGCAACGCCACUGUGAACCUAAAAGUUGUUAAUGAUUCUUGUUGUGCUGGGACAAAAUUAAAGACCGCUUUUGUUGGGCAGAAUAUCACCACCACAUGUAGCUAUCCAGGGGAGUAUGAGAGUAACAUCAAGUAUGUCCUCAAACUGGAUGACGACAUGUUUGUUCAAAACGUUGUUGAUACUGACAAAGAAUUUCAGAACGGAAGAUUCUCCAUUUCUGAUGACAAAAGUGCUAAAGUUCUCAGAGUGAACCUCAGCGAUGUGAGAGAAGCUGAUGGAGUAUUUUAUUUAUUUGGAGUGUGGAACAAAGAUGGGUCAGUCGGAUAUUACUCCUACUUUACAGAGAUUCAGCUGCAUGUAACAGGAUUGAGCACGAGCAUUCAACCAACAACAACAACAGGCACCGACAUGACGACCUCAGCAGCACUGACAGAAACUCCAUCUGCAGUGUGUUUCAGUUCCUCUGCCAUCAUCAUCGGUGUGUGUGUCUGUGUGGCUCUGCUGCUGAUUGGAGGAUUUGCACUGAUGAUCUACAAACUGAGACACAAGAGAACACAAGGUUACUUCUGAUCAUAACACCGAUUCAGCUCAUCUGUACGAAAAUUUCAGAAUGAGCUCAAUAUGAAUCUGCACCAGGACACAAACCAAUCAGACUGUUGAGCUGUUAUUCUUACUGUUCUGAGCUGCCUCGUAGUGCCUCAACUCCCAAUGCUGUAGUGUCUCUCUUCACCUCUUUAUAGGACUGAAACCUAAAAAACAAUGCUGAUCCUAAAUCCAUGCCAGUUUGAUCAGGUGCAGUUUCUGGAGGACUGCUAGCCAGUUUCUCUCUCUCUCUCUCUCUCUCUCUCUCUCUCUCUGUCUCUCUGUCUCUCUGUCUUUCUCUCUCUCUCUGUCUUUCUCUCUCUUUUUCUCUCUCUCUCUAUCGCUCUCUCGUUCUCUGUCUUUCUCUCUCUUUCUCUCUCCCUUGCUCUCUUUCUCUCUCUCUAUCGCUCUGUCUCUCUCUCUCUCUAUCGCUCUCUUUGUUUCUUGUAGUUUUUACAUUUGUUUAGUUAAAGAUAAAGUGAUGAUUGUGAGCAAGGUGUUAUGAAACUUAUUAUCUAUAUAAAUGAAACAUUAUCGAUGUAUAAUGACUGAUAAAUGAUAUUAUUAUUAUUAUUAUUAUUAUUAUUAUUAUUAUUAUUAUUAUUAUUAUUAUUAUUAUUGUUGUAAUGAUUACUUAAUUAAUUGUUUCUUAACUAGUUAUCCAUUUUAUAUCAUGACAUUACUGUGCUUUAUUCUGAUCUGUUAUAGGAGUUACUUUAUUACAGUUUAAAUAUGAACCCAUUUAGUGCUGAGAUCUCGUUCAACACAUCGUACGCUCUGUUUCGAUUACGCUGUUGAGGCUUAAGAAGGAGAGCUAUAUUCCAAAUAACUGUCUAUAUCUAAUUGUGUAUUUCUGUUAUAUGUCAGUGAAAUUCUCUAAAUCAAUAAAAACACACUUCCUGUCCUUUAAAC